AUAAACGCUGGCGGCGUGCUUAACACAUGCAAGUCGAACGAAGUUUUUCCUUCGGGAGAAACUUAGUGGCGGACGGGUGAGUAACGCGUGGGUAACCUGCCCUGUACAGGGGGACAACAGCUGGAAACGGCUGCUAAUACCGCAUAAGCCCUUAGCACUGCAUGGUGCAUAGGGAAAAGGAGCAAUCCGGUACAGGAUGGACCCGCGUCUGAUUAGCCAGUUGGCAGGGUAACGGCCUACCAAAGCGACGAUCAGUAGCCGAUCUGAGAGGAUGUACGGCCACAUUGGGACUGAGACACGGCCCAGACUCCUACGGGAGGCAGCAGUGGGGAAUAUUGCACAAUGGAGGAAACUCUGAUGCAGCGACGCCGCGUGAGUGAAGAAGUAUUUCGGUAUGUAAAGCUCUAUCAGCAGGGAAGAAAAUGACGGUACCUGACUAAGAAGCACCGGCUAAAUACGUG
RNAcentral lists this ribosomal RNA (461 nucleotides) under uncultured bacterium. Its description in RNAcentral is "partial 16S ribosomal RNA". It matches the Rfam family "Bacterial small subunit ribosomal RNA", at positions 29 to 507 of the family's 1533-position model. The record is from RNAcentral.